This 672-nucleotide ribosomal RNA is filed under the name alpha proteobacterium IMCC14210. RNAcentral's name for it is "bacterial SSU rRNA". It matches the Rfam family "Bacterial small subunit ribosomal RNA", at positions 29 to 749 of the family's 1533-position model. Lineage: Bacteria; Pseudomonadati; Pseudomonadota; Alphaproteobacteria. The record is from RNAcentral. RNAcentral also lists the same sequence under 11 other names.
ACGAACGCUGGCGGCAGGCCUAACACAUGCAAGUCGAGCGCACCUUCGGGUGAGCGGCGGACGGGUUAGUAACGCGUGGGAACGUACCCUUUUCUACGGAAUAGCCUUUGGAAACGAAGAGUAAUACCGUAUACGCCCUUUGGGGGAAAGAUUUAUCGGAGAAGGAUCGGCCCGCGUUAGAUUAGAUAGUUGGUGGGGUAACGGCCUACCAAGUCUACGAUCUAUAGCUGGUUUUAGAGGAUGAUCAGCAACACUGGGACUGAGACACGGCCCAGACUCCUACGGGAGGCAGCAGUGGGGAAUCUUAGACAAUGGGCGCAAGCCUGAUCUAGCCAUGCCGCGUGAGUGAUGAAGGCCUUAGGGUCGUAAAGCUCUUUCGCCUGUGAUGAUAAUGACAGUAGCAGGUAAAGAAACCCCGGCUAACUCCGUGCCAGCAGCCGCGGUAAUACGGAGGGGGUUAGCGUUGUUCGGAAUUACUGGGCGUAAAGCGCACGUAGGCGGAUUGGAAAGUUGGGGGUGAAAUCCCGGGGCUCAACCCCGGAACUGCCUCCAAAACUAUCAGUCUAGAGUUCGAGAGAGGUGAGUGGAAUUCCAAGUGUAGAGGUGAAAUUCGUAGAUAUUUGGAGGAACACCAGUGGCGAAGGCGGCUCACUGGCUCGAUACUGACGCUGA